CGGACGUGACGGAACCUCGUCCUUUCAGGGAGGGACACAGUUGGAAACGACUGCUAAUACCGCAUAAUAUAUGUUUGUCGCAUGGCAGAUAUAUCAAAGAUUUAUCGCUGAGAGAUGGCCUCGCGUCUGAUUAGCUAGUUGGUAGGGUAAUGGCCUACCAAGGCGACGAUCAGUAGCCGGACUGAGAGGUUGGCCGGCCACAUUGGGACUGAGAUACGGCCCAGACUCCUACGGAAGGCAGCAG
Molecule: ribosomal RNA, 244 nt
Filed under: uncultured bacterium
Lineage: Bacteria
Description: partial 16S ribosomal RNA
Rfam family: Bacterial small subunit ribosomal RNA
Source: RNAcentral